Molecule: RNA transcript, 2578 nt
Organism: Grus americana (Whooping crane)
Lineage: Eukaryota; Metazoa; Chordata; Aves; Gruiformes; Gruidae
Gene: ORC3
Gene name: origin recognition complex subunit 3
Exons: 19
Source: RefSeq, a predicted model, not a curated record
CGACGGCGGCAGGGCGGCUUGUGCGGUACCGUUCGGGCCUGGGGCGUAGGAGUGGCGACAUGAGCACGUGUUCCGUCUCCAAGGGCUGCUUUGUUUUUAAACCAAGUCCCAAGAAGAGAAGAGUGUCUCAGAAAACAGUUGGAAGCUGGUGGAGGGUUUCUGUACUCACAUCUGUGAGACAGAGCAGCACCUGGGAAGCCAAAUGUAUUCAGAAAAUGUGCCAAGACACUGUUUUACCAGAAAGGAUCUGAUUCUUCCUUUCUUUUUCAUAAAGAGCAUGUAUAGAAGUGAGAGGCAAUUUAGAGCUAUUGAUUUCAGAGAAAGAAACAAUGCGUCAGAGGAUAGUGAGUUGCGAUUCGUUACUUGUCAGUCUUUAUGGAAUCAGAUCAAAUCUGAAACAGAGCAAAUACAGGAAGACUUGAAUAAGCAGUUAUUUGAUAACCUACUAAGUUUUUUGAGGCGGUCUCAUUCUGAGUUCCAAGAGAAGACAACAGAAUGGACUUGUCAGAUGAAGUCCAGAGAAAUCCCUACUGCAGCUCUUGUUUUAGGUGUAAAUGUUACGGAUCAUGACUUGACUUUUAGAAGUUUCUCAGAAGUCCUUCAGAAUAACAUUACUCCUUAUAUAGCCUUGCUGGAAGCCAAAGAUUGCCCAGACAUAAAAAAUCUGAUGCAGAAGCUGAUGGGGCAGCUGAUGAACUGCUAUAUAGAUGUGGACUCACUGGAGGAUGAGGACUCUGUGCAGGUUUCCCAGAAUAGAAUACGUUGUUCAAUGACUUCUCUUAUCAACUGGUAUGAGAAUGUAACAAAGAAAACAGAUUCUGAAACUCCGAGCAAAAAAAGAACUUCCUCUUGUAGACACUGGCAAUCUCCUCCGGUUGUGGUUAUAUUCAAAGACAUGGAAAGUUUCACAACAAAAGUACUUCAAGACUUCAUAGUCAUCAGCAGUCAGCAUAUCCAUGAAUUGCCUCUGGUACUGAUUUUUGGAAUCGCUACGUCUCCCAUGAUUAUCCACAGCUUACUUCCUCACUCUGUUUCCUCUCUGCUGUGCAUAGAGCUUUUUCAGUCCCUUUCCUGCAAGGAGCACCUGUCUACUAUAGUUGACAAGCUGCUUCUGACAACCCAGUUUCCCUUUAAACUGGGUGAGAAAGUUCUGCAGGUUCUCAUCAACAUAUUCUUGUACCAUGAUUUUUCUGUCCAGAAUUUUAUCAAAGGAUUUCAGCUCUGUAUGGUGGAGCAUUUCUAUUCCCAGCCUCUUAGUGUACUGUGUUGCCAACUGGUAGACACUAAGAAGAGAGUAAAUUCUUUAUCACAUGAUCAGUGUGAAAACAUUCGAAAACUGCCCUCUUUCAGAAGGUAUGUGGAAAGUCAAGUAUCAGAGAAACAGAUUGCACUGCUGACAGCAGACAACUUCUUAAAGGAAAUAAUACAGAAGUUGCUGGAGGACUUGCAUGUUUACCAUGAGAAUUAUGUUUCAGUUCUGAGAUGUCUUCAUGUUUUCACAUCUUCUCUUCCAAAGUAUCCUUUGGGCAAGCAGAUCAGGGAGCUGCAUUGUGCAUGUUUGGAAAACCGAGUGUGGGAGACAGAGGAGUAUGAGUCAUCUCUUCAGCUAGCAAGGAUGUUGAAUAAGUCUGAUUUGGUAACCAUGCUUCAACAAUGUGUGGAAAUUUUUGUGUCAUCUUCUGGAAAGGAGUUUGAUAAGACAGUAGAGAAGUUGAAGGAGUUCUUGACCCAGUUUCAGAAACUAGAAGUAGCAGAAGCUAUCCAAGAACGAGAUGUGUCCGUAUCGUCACAAAAGGAGCUCCAAAAGAAGACAGACCUUUAUCAUCUUCAGAAGACUUUGUUGGAGUUGAAGGAAUCAAGGCGGUCUAAGAAACUGACAAAGUUUGAAAUGCUUCGUUUUGAAGUUGUUGACUAUAUAGACAGCCUUGUAAGAACUUACCUUGUUCCUGCAGACCACAAGACUCUGCAUGAGAUAGUGUAUUUCAACACAGCCAGUGUUCUCCGUGGGCACUUGAAUGCUGCCCCAAGGAUUGCACUUCAUACAGCUUUAAAUAACCCAUACUGCUAUCUGAAGGUAAGAAACAAGUGAGUUGUUUGUGGUGCUGGAGUACUUUCCGAAGGCUACACAUGAGGAUGAUGUGUAAGGCUCAGUUUUGCUGCUUCAUGGAGCUUGGCGCACAUUCAGCUGUUUUGCAGAGAACCAGCAAGUUAGUGUUGAUAAGCAGCUGGGGACUUUGCAAAGAGCUAGGGAAUCUGUCUGUAUGAAAUAAAGAAGCUAAUUAUGGAAAGAGUUCUGUAUGGAGAAUCCAUUUUCCAGAGCAUGUUCUAGUCAUCAUCUUUUCUUUCUCUUGUAGAUGUAGCAUAAAAGUAAUUUUAUCUUCCAUUACAAAUGGCCUGACUGUCCAUGGGGAAAAUACAGUGCCUGUGGCUCUUUCCAGAGACUUUCUUUACAGGGCUGGUGUUUAGCCCUCACUGUGUAGACUUGCUGUAAGAAUCAAGCUUUGAAAAGUGAUGGAGGAAGCAUUUCUAAUAAAGCCCCUGACAUAUGCAUAGUGUAUAAGCUUCAUUUGGAGUGUGG